Nerophis ophidion (straightnose pipefish) is the source of this 1308-nucleotide long non-coding RNA. RefSeq lists it as uncharacterized. The transcript has 3 exons. The record is from RefSeq and is a predicted model, not a curated record. Lineage: Eukaryota; Metazoa; Chordata; Actinopteri; Syngnathiformes; Syngnathidae.
ACAGUUGUGUUUGAAUUUCUUCCAGGCUGUAUUUUGGAGGGAAAUCUUUCAACGAGCACAUCUUUCAGAGUCUGACGUAUGCAUUGAUUGCUGACCAUAUAGCGGUUAAGGGGCUCACAAAAGGCCAGGAGACCGUUGGUGAAUAUUCAAAAAGGGCAGACUUUGAUUCGGGGAGCCCUAAUAGCCACUUCAAACAGGAUCGGACAGCCUGGAGGAAGGUGGCAUUGGUGUUAAAGGACAGUAGACGCUGGACACAAAGGAGCCAUGUCACGUUUUAUUGUGGUGACCUCCAGCCCUGCGAUGAGGUGGCGACUUGUCCAGGGUGUACCCCGCCUUCCACCCGAUUGUAGCUGAGAUAGGCGCCAGUGCCCCCCGUAACCCCAAAAGGGAAUAAGCGGUAGAAAAUGGAUGGAUGGAUUUCAUUUUCAUUUUCUUUUCAUUCAUUUCAUGAAAAUGCAUAUGUACAAGCCAUUUACAGUUCAUACUUUCAUUGUUUUUAGUUUGAAGACAUGUCCAUGAUCAAAAAGGAGCGGAUGGAAGAAUAAUAUUAUUAUAUUCAUCUGCCCCCUUUUUUUAAACAAAUGAUUUUAUAUUAAUUCAUCACUGUUCCCUCCACCAACAUCCGAACUCCAACAUACUUUUUAAUUAAAAACAUCCAAUCAAAAUCAAAAAUCAGUUUGAUAUAAUUCCAGUUGUCUCUUUUUGCAACUCUUUUUAAAUUCAAAAAUAUUCUUGUAACUUUUUAAGUUACUUUUAUAGAAUUCCAUGCUUUCCCACCAACAACAAACAAGCACAUUUGAUUAAAAUGUGUUCGCACUCUUGGAUUUUUGAAGUCAUUCGGCCUUCUGUGAUUCUCAUCUUCAGACGUGAACACGAAUAACUUUUGUAAAUCCUUCGGAAUAACUUUAUUUCGAGCUUUGAACAUCACUAAUAGAGUAUGCAAUUUUACAAUGUCUUUCAGUUUUAAUAAUCCUGACCUAAUGAAGAGUGUAUUUGUGUGAUCUUUAUAUCCUACUUUAAACCUUAUACAAAUUGCUCUUUUCUGUAAAAGAAAUAAAGGCAUUAUGUUGCUGCGGUAUGUAUUUCCCCAUAUUUUUGUACAAUAUUUGAAAUAAAGUAGAAUAAUUGAGCAAGAUAACAAUGUCAUUGUAUUAUACAGGAAACAGUAUUUAACCUUGUAGAAGCCUUUAGGUACCUUAUUUUUCACAUGCAAUAUAUGAGCUUUCCAUGUCAACUUUUCCUUUUGGAUGACCCCAAUAAAUCUGAUUUCAGACACCUUCUCAAUUUUCACAUCAUUAACUUUAACGA